GACAGAGGGUGCAAACGUUGUUCGGAAUUACUGGGCGUAAAGCGCGUGUAGGCGGCUUUGCAAGUCAGACGUGAAAUCCCUCGGCUUAACCGGGGAACUGCGUCUGAUACUGGAUGGCUUGAAUCCGGGAGAGGGAUGCGGAAUUCCAGGUGUAGCGGUGAAAUGCGUAGAUAUCUGGAGGAACACCGGUGGCGAAGGCGGCAUCCUGGACCGGCAUUGACGCUGAGGAGCGAAAGCCAGGGGAGCAAACGGG
This 253-nucleotide ribosomal RNA is filed under the name uncultured bacterium. RNAcentral's name for it is "partial 16S ribosomal RNA". It matches the Rfam family "Bacterial small subunit ribosomal RNA", at positions 524 to 776 of the family's 1533-position model. The record is from RNAcentral.